This is a long non-coding RNA of Centruroides sculpturatus (bark scorpion), 409 nucleotides long. RefSeq lists it as uncharacterized. The record is from RefSeq and is a predicted model, not a curated record. The transcript has 4 exons. NCBI's taxonomy places the organism in Eukaryota, Metazoa, Arthropoda, Arachnida, Scorpiones, Buthidae.
AAACUGUUUAAAUUAAAUAUUAUAAUGGUAUAAUGUAAUAUAAUACUGUUGUGCAUAGAAUAAUGUUGUGCCAUUUUUAAAAUAGAGUAAAAUUUAAUUAUUAUUUUGAAAUUGUUAUUAACAGUUCCGUAACUAGGAAGGUACAACGGGUGAGUCCAGAACAAAGAGAGGCCCUAAAAUGGAGUAUCAAAAAACGUUGCAGACAUCGCAGAAACUAACGAAAGCAAGAAAUCAAGACAUCUGACCACCGACGAAUUAAUUUCAAAUGCAUUCCUUUUUCUACUUUUAAAAUACGAAACUAAAAGUACAGCUCUUGCUUUCUGCACCAUGAUGCUGGUUAACUAUCCGGAAGUGCAAGAGAAUAUCAGAGGAGAAGUAAAUGGACUGCUCGGGAGAGAGUAUGUCUUAA